AUGCCCAUAAGUUCAGAUUUGCUCCAACCAAUCAGAAGACAGAUAGCAUUUGCGGCUCUGAAUUAUGACCAAUCAGGAGGCAGGUGUCAUGGAGGAGGUGGGACACAGAGUGGACGCGACCAAUCAGUGCACAGGUGGCUGAGCAGGCGUUCCUCCGGGUCUGGGGGCCACGUUGUCAUGGCAGGUGCGAGGACUCGCUGGGCCCCUGCCCUGCGUCUCUGCAGAGUCCAGCGCGGGGCGCCCGCGGACCUUGCUCGCUCGCAGCCACCUCCGCAUUUUCCGAGGAGGCCUGAGGGACACCCGCGUGCCGCGGCCCCAGGCCUCUGCUGCACCAGAGGCCAUGCGCGGGGCCGUGGGAAGCAGGACACGGAGGGGCGGCGCCGUCCGCGCGAGGCUUGCUCAGAAGGCCCCACCAGGAAAAGGAGUUUAAAGACCGGCCGCUGGGCUGCAGCGUCACUCAGAGGCCCCUGCCCGUCCGUGCUCGCCCCCGCUGCCUGCCUCUCUCCGGCUCUCUGUCCCUGUCUCUCUCUGUCCCUGUCUCUCUCUCUCUCUUCAUCUGUCCCUGUCUCUCUCUCUCUCUCUAUCCCCAUCUGUCUCUCUGUCUCUCUCUCUCUUCAUCUCUCUCUGUCUCUGUCCCUGUCUCUCUCUCCCUGUCUGUCUCCCUGUCCCUGUCCAUCUCUCUGUCUCUCUCUCUCCCCGCCUGUCUCUGUCCCUGUCUCUCUCUCUCCCCCAUCUGUCUCUCUGUCUCUCUCUCUCCCCGUCUGUCUCUCUGUCUCUCUCUCUCUUCAUCUCUCUCUGUCUCUGUCCCUGUCUCUCUCUCUCUUUCUUUGUGUGUGUCUGUCUCUCCCCGUCUGUCUCCCUGUCCCUGUCCAUCUCUGUCUCUCUUUCAUCUCUCUCUGUCUCUCUCUCUCUUUGUCUCUCUGUCUUUGUCUCUCUAUCUCUCUCCCUCUCUCUCUCUCUCCCCAUCUGUCUCUGUCCCUGUCUCUCUCUCCCCGUCUCUCUCUCUGUCUCUCUCCCUCUCUUUCUCUCUCUCUCUCUCUCUCUCUCUCACACACACACACACACGCACACACACGUGGUCUUCCACCCCCACGUUUUAUGUUCUGA
This 1107-nucleotide long non-coding RNA is filed under the name Oryctolagus cuniculus (rabbit). RNAcentral's name for it is "lncRNA (ENSOCUG00000031960.1)". Lineage: Eukaryota; Metazoa; Chordata; Mammalia; Lagomorpha; Leporidae. The record is from RNAcentral.